This is a regulatory RNA element of Cavia porcellus (domestic guinea pig), 297 nucleotides long. It matches the Rfam family "Mason-Pfizer monkey virus packaging signal". From Rfam's summary of the family: The packaging signal is located in the 5' UTR and is required for specific RNA encapsidation. NCBI's taxonomy places the organism in Eukaryota, Metazoa, Chordata, Mammalia, Rodentia, Caviidae. The record is from Rfam.
UGGCGCCCAGUGUGGGGCUCCUGGCACGAAGGGCUCAACGAGGGAGCCGUCCUGAGACGCGCGCGUAAGAAUGGAACUAACAUUUUUGUGACCAACGCUACACGGGAGCCUGCCACGCUGCUCAAGUCACAGUCAGUGGAUGGCGAUCCUUUCCCUUUACUUCCGGCAUGGGUCAGGCAUUAAGUGACCAUACACGCUUUGUGUCAGGUUUAAGUAAAGCUUUAAAGACAAGAGGGAUAAAGGCUAAAGAAAAAGAUUUAUUGCAGUACUUUCAAUUUAUUCAUAAGGUUUGCUCUU